UAGUUAGUUGGUGGGUAAAGGCCUACCAAGACAAUGAUGCAUAGCCGAGUGAGAGACUGAUCGGCCACAUUGGGACUGAGACACGGCCCAAACUCCUACGGGAGGCUGCAGUAGGGAAUCUUCCACAAUGGGCGAAAGCCUGAUGGAGCAACGCCGCGUGUGUGAUGAAGGCUUUCGGGUCGUAAAGCACUGUUGUAUGGGAAGAAAAGUUAAGGUAGGGAAUGACCUUAGCCUGACGGUACCAUACCAGAAAGGGACGGCUAAAUACGUGCCAGCAGCCGCGGUAAUACGUAUGUCCCGAGCGUUAUCCGGAUUUAUUGGGCGUAAAGCGAGCGCAGACGGUUGGUUAAGUCUGAUGUGAAAGCCCGGAGCUCAACUCCGGAAAGGCAUUGGAAACUGGUUAACUUGAGUGCAGUAGAGGUAAGUGGAACUCCAUGUGUAGCGGUGGAAUGCGUAGAUAUAUGGAAGAACACCAGCGGCGAAGGCGGCUUACUGGACUGUAACUGACGUUGAGGCUCGAAAGUGUGGGUAGCAAACAGGAUUAGAUACCCUGGUAGUCCACACCGUAAACGAUGAACACUAGGUGUUAGGAGGUUUCCGCCUCUUAGUGCCGAAGCUAACGCAUUAAGUGUUCCGCCUGGGGAGUACGACCGCAAGGUUGAAACUCAAAGGAAUUGACGGGGACCCGCACAAGCGGUGGAGCAUGUGGUUUAAUUCGAAGCAACGCGAAGAACCUUACCAGGUCUUGACAUCCUUUGAAGCUUUUAGAAAUAGAAGUGUUCUCUUCGGAGACAAAGUGACAGGUGGUGCAUGGUCGUCGUCAGCUCGUGUCGUGAGAUGUUGGGUUAAGUCCCGCAACGAGCGCAACCCUUAUUGUUAGUUGCCAGCAUUCAGAUGGGCACUCUAGCGAGACUGCCGGUGACAAACCGGAGGAAGGCGGGGACGACGUCAGAUCAUCAUGCCCCUUAUGACCUGGGCUACACACGUGCUACAAUGGCGUAUACAACGAGUUGCCAACCUGCGAAGGUGAGCUAAUCUCUUAAAGUACGUCUCAGUUCGGACUGCAGUCUGCAACUCGACUGCACGAAGUCGGAAUCGCUAGUAAUCGCGGAUCAGCACGCCGCGGUGAAUACGUUCCCGGGUCUUGUACACACCGCCCGUCACACCAUGGAAGUUUGUAAUGCCCAAAGCCGGUGGCCUAACCGUAAGGAGGGAACCGUC
Molecule: ribosomal RNA, 1221 nt
Filed under: Leuconostoc carnosum
Lineage: Bacteria; Bacillati; Bacillota; Bacilli; Lactobacillales; Lactobacillaceae
Description: bacterial SSU rRNA
Rfam family: Bacterial small subunit ribosomal RNA
Source: RNAcentral